CCUACGGGAGGCAGCAGUGGGGAAUAUUGCACAAUGGGGGAAACCCUGAUGCAGCGACGCCGCGUGAGUGAAGAAGUAUUUCGGUAUGUAAAGCUCUAUCAGCAGGGAAGAAAAUGACGGUACCUGACUAAGAAGCCCCGGCUAACUACGUGCCAGCAGCCGCGGUAAUACGUAGGGGGCAAGCGUUAUCCGGAUUUACUGGGUGUAAAGGAAGCGUAGACGGCCAGACAAGUCAGAAGUGAAAGCCCAGGGCUCAACCCUGGGACUGCUUUUGAAACUGCCGGGCUGGAGUGAAGGAGAGGUAAGCGGAAUUCCGAGGGUAGCGGUGAAAUGCGUAGAUAUUAGGAGGAACACCAGUGGCGAAGGCGGCUUACUGGACUGUAACUGACGUUGAGGCUCGAAAGCGUGGGGAGCAAACAGGAUUAGAUACCCUUGUAGUC
Molecule: ribosomal RNA, 440 nt
Filed under: uncultured bacterium
Lineage: Bacteria
Description: partial 16S ribosomal RNA
Rfam family: Bacterial small subunit ribosomal RNA
Source: RNAcentral